CUACGGGAUGCAGCAGGCGAGAAAACUUUGCAAUGUGCGAAAGCACGACAAGGUUAAUCCGAGUGGUUUGUGCUAAACGAACCUUUUGACAGUCCUAGAAACACUGUUGAAUAAGGGGUGGGCAAGUUCUGGUGUCAGCCGCCGCGGUAAAACCAGCACCUCAAGUGGUCAGGAUGAUUAUUGGGCCUAAAGCAUCCGUAGCCGGCUCUGUAAGUUGUCGGUUAAAUCUGUACGCUCAACGUACAGGCUGCCGGGAAUACUGCAGAGCUAGGGAGUGGGAGAGGUAGACGGUACUCGGUAGGAAGGGGUAAUAUCCUUUGAUCUAUUGAUGACCACCUGUGGCGAAGGCGGUCUACCAGAACACGUCCGACGGUGAGGGAUGAAAGCUGGGGGAGCAAACCGGAUUAGAUACCCCGGUAGUC
This 422-nucleotide ribosomal RNA is filed under the name uncultured archaeon. RNAcentral describes it as "partial 16S ribosomal RNA". It matches the Rfam family "Archaeal small subunit ribosomal RNA", at positions 323 to 746 of the family's 1478-position model. The record is from RNAcentral.